AGAGUUUGAUCCUGGCUCAGGACGAACGCUGGCGGCGUGCCUAAUACAUGCAAGUCGAGCGAACCGAUCGGAGCUUGCUCCGUGAAGUUAGCGGCGGACGGGUGAGUAACACGUGGGUAACCUGCCUGACAGACUGGGAUAACAUUCGGAAACGAAUGCUAAUACCGGAUAGGCUUUCUGAUUGCAUGAUCGGAAAGGGAAAGAGGCGAUCGCCUCACUGUCAGAUGGACCCGCGGCGCAUUAGCUAGUUGGUGAGGUAACGGCUCACCAAGGCGACGAUGCGUAGCCGACCUGAGAGGGUGACCGGCCACACUGGGACUGAGACACGGCCCAGACUCCUACGGGAGGCAGCAGUAGGGAAUCUUCCGCAAUGGACGAAAGUCUGACGGAGCAACGCCGCGUGAGUGAUGAAGGUUUUCGGAUCGUAAAGCUCUGUUGUUAGGGAAGAACAAGUGCUAGAGUAACUGCUAGCACCUUGACGGUACCUAACCAGAAAGCCACGGCUAACUACGUGCCAGCAGCCGCGGUAAUACGUAGGUGGCAAGCGUUGUCCGGAAUUAUUGGGCGUAAAGCGCGCGCAGGCGGUUUCUUAAGUCUGAUGUGAAAGCCCACGGCUCAACCGUGGAGGGUCAUUGGAAACUGGGGAACUUGAGUGCAGAAGAGGAGAGCGGAAUUCCACGUGUAGCGGUGAAAUGCGUAGAGAUGUGGAGGAACACCAGUGGCGAAGGCGGCUCUCUGGUCUGUAACUGACGCUGAGGCGCGAAAGCGUGGGGAGCAAACAGGAUUUAGAUACCCUGGUAGUCCACGCCGUAAACGAUGAGUGCUAAGUGUUAGAGGGUUUCCGCCCUUUAAGUGCUGAAGUUAACGCAUUAAGCACUCCGCCUGGGGAGUACGACCGCAAGGUUGAAACUCAAAGGAAUUGACGGGGGCCCGCACAAGCGGUGGAGCAUGUGGUUUAAUUCGAUGCAACGCGAAGAACCUUACCAAGGCUUGACAUCCCAUGACUACCCAUGAAAGUAGGGUUGCCCUUCGGGGCCAUGGAGACAGGUGGUGCAUGGUUGUCGUCAGCUCGUGUCGUGAGAUGUUGGGUUAAGUCCCGCAACGAGCGCAACCCUUGUCCUUAGUUGCCAGCAUUAAGUUGGGGACUCUAAGGAGACUGCCGGUGACAAACCGGAGGAAGGUGGGGAUGACGUCAAAUCAUCAUGCCCUUUAUGCCUUGGGCUACACACGUGCUACAAUGGGUUAUACAGAGGGCGGCGAGACCGCGAGGUGGAGCGAAUCCCUUAAAGUAACCCCCAGUUCGGAUUGUAGGCUGCAACUCGCCUACAUGAAGUUGGAAUCGCUAGUAAUCGCAGGUCAGCAUACUGCGGUGAAUACGUUCCCGGGCCUUGUACACACCGCCCGUCACACCACCCGAAUCUGAUGCACCAGAAGUCGCUGUCCUAACCAUAUGGAGGGAGGCGCCAAAGGUGUGUCCGGUAAGGGGGGUGAAGUCGUAACAAGGUAGCCGU
Molecule: ribosomal RNA, 1511 nt
Filed under: uncultured Aneurinibacillus sp.
Lineage: Bacteria; Bacillati; Bacillota; Bacilli; Caryophanales; Paenibacillaceae
Description: 16S ribosomal RNA
Rfam family: Bacterial small subunit ribosomal RNA
Source: RNAcentral